AGUGAUACUCCAACAAAUGCCCCUGUUACAAUUGCAAGAACACAUGCUCAGUUAUCCUCAUUCCCAAAGUAUCUGAUUGCUGAAUAAAAUUGUGCAAAACUGAUGUAAAACAAGCUCCGAUACAAAAUUGACAUAGAGCAAGAAGAAAAAGAAUAAACAGCAACAAAAUCACAAAUCUUAUUAAAUGUCAACAAUAAUAUCAUAAUAAACUCAGUCUAAUAAAAUAUCUA
RNAcentral lists this unclassified non-coding RNA (230 nucleotides) under Hevea brasiliensis (rubber tree). Lineage: Eukaryota; Viridiplantae; Streptophyta; Magnoliopsida; Malpighiales; Euphorbiaceae. The record is from RNAcentral.